CAGGCCUAACACAUGCAAGUCGAGCGGAAACGACAUAACAAUCCUUCGGGUGCGUUAAUGGGCGUCGAGCGGCGGACGGGUGAGUAAUGCCUAGGAAAUUGCCUUGAUGUGGGGGAUAACCAUUGGAAACGAUGGCUAAUACCGCAUAAUGCCUACGGGCCAAAGAGGGGGACCUUCGGGCCUCUCGCGUCAAGAUAUGCCUAGGUGGGAUUAGCUAGUUGGUGAGGUAAUGGCUCACCAAGGCGACGAUCCCUAGCUGGUCUGAGAGGAUGAUCAGCCACACUGGAACUGAGACACGGUCCAGACUCCUACGGGAGGCAGCAGUGGGGAAUAUUGCACAAUGGGCGAAAGCCUGAUGCAGCCAUGCCGCGUGUAUGAAGAAGGCCUUCGGGUUGUAAAGUACUUUCAGUUGUGAGGAAGGGGGUAGUGUUAAUAGCGCUAUCUCUUGACGUUAGCAACAGAAGAAGCACCGGCUAACUCCGUGCCAGCAGCCGCGGUAAUACGGAGGGUGCGAGCGUUAAUCGGA
Molecule: ribosomal RNA, 526 nt
Filed under: Vibrio sp. OT150
Lineage: Bacteria; Pseudomonadati; Pseudomonadota; Gammaproteobacteria; Vibrionales; Vibrionaceae
Description: bacterial SSU rRNA
Rfam family: Bacterial small subunit ribosomal RNA
Source: RNAcentral